This 464-nucleotide ribosomal RNA is filed under the name uncultured bacterium. RNAcentral describes it as "partial 16S ribosomal RNA". It matches the Rfam family "Bacterial small subunit ribosomal RNA", at positions 339 to 795 of the family's 1533-position model. The record is from RNAcentral.
CUACGGGACGCACCAGUGGGGAAUAUUGCACAAUGGGCGCAAGCCUGAUGCAGCCAUGCCGCGUGUAUGAAGAAGGCCUUCGGGUUGUAAAGUACUUUCAGCGGGGAGGAAGGGAGUAAAGUUAAUACCUUUGCUCAUUGACGUUACCCGCAGAAGAAGCACCGGCGAACUCCGUGCCAGCAGCCGCGGUAAUACGGGGGGUGCAAGCGUUAAUCGGAAUUACUGGGCGUAAAGCGCACGCAGGCGGUUUGUUAAGUCAGAUGUGAAAUCCCCGGGCUCAACCAGGGAACUGCAUCUGAUACUGGCAAGCUUGAGUCUCGUAGAGGGGGGUAGAAUUCCAGGUGUAGCGGUGAAAUGCGUAGAGAUCUGGAGGAAUACCGGUGGCGAAGGCGGCCCCCUGGACGAAGACUGACGCUCAGGUGCGAAAGCGUGGGGAGCAAACAGGAUUAGAUACCCGAGUAGUC